UACGGAGGGUGCGAGCGUUGUCCGGAAUCAUUGGGCGUAAAGGGCGCGUAGGUGGCCCGGUCAGUCUUUGGUGAAAGCGCGGGGCUCAACCCUGCGUCGGCCAGGGAUACUGCCGCGGCUCGAGCACUGUAGAGGCAGGCGGAAUUCCGGGUGUAGCGGUGGAAUGCGUAGAGAUCCGGAAGAACACCGGUGGCGAAGGCGGCCUGCUGGGCAGUUAGCUGACACUGAGGCGCGACAGCGUGGGGAGCAAACAGGGU
This 257-nucleotide ribosomal RNA is filed under the name uncultured bacterium. RNAcentral's name for it is "partial 16S ribosomal RNA". It matches the Rfam family "Bacterial small subunit ribosomal RNA", at positions 524 to 778 of the family's 1533-position model. The record is from RNAcentral.